RNAcentral lists this ribosomal RNA (116 nucleotides) under Solenopsis invicta (red fire ant). RNAcentral's name for it is "partial 16S ribosomal RNA". Lineage: Eukaryota; Metazoa; Arthropoda; Insecta; Hymenoptera; Formicidae. The record is from RNAcentral.
AAGAUUUUAAAAGUCGAACAGACUUAAAUAUUAAACUUCUCCACUUAAUUUUUAUCUUAAUUCAACAUCGAGGUCGCAAACACUUUUAUUAAUAUGAACUCUCUAAAAAUAUUACG